UAUAUUCUGUAGCAAGGUUAACCGCAUAGGGGAGCCGAAGGGAAACCGAGUCUUAAUUGGGCGUUAAGUUGCAGGGUAUAGACCCGAAACCCGGUGAUCUAGCCAUGGGCAGGUUGAAGGUUGGGUAACACUAACUGGAGGACCGAACCGACUAAUGUUGAAAAAUUAGCGGAUGACCUGUGGCUGGGGGUGAAAGGCCAAUCAAACCGGGAGAUAGCUGGUUCUCCCCGAAAGCUAUUUAGGUAGCGCCUCGUGAACUCAUCUCCGGGGGUAGAGCACUGUUUCGGCUAGGGGGCCAUCCCGGCUUACCAACCCGAUGCAAACUGCGAAUACCGGAGAAUGUUAUCACGGGAGACACACGGCGGGUGCUAACGUCCGUCGUGAAGAGGGAAACAACCCAGACCGCCAGCUAAGGUCCCAAAGUCAUGGUUAAGUGGGAAACGAUGUGGGAAGGCCCAGACAGCCAGGAUGUUGGCUUAGAAGCAGCCAUCAUUUAAAGAAAGCGUAAUAGCUCACUGGUCGAGUCGGCCUGCGCGGAAGAUGUAACGGGGCUAAACCAUGCACCGAAGCUGCGGCAGCGACACUUUAGUGUUGUUGGGUAGGGGAGCGUUCUGUAAGCCGUUGAAGGUGUCCUGUGAGGG
This 641-nucleotide ribosomal RNA is filed under the name Salmonella enterica subsp. enterica serovar Infantis. RNAcentral's name for it is "partial 23S ribosomal RNA". It matches the Rfam family "Bacterial large subunit ribosomal RNA", at positions 629 to 1269 of the family's 2925-position model. Lineage: Bacteria; Pseudomonadati; Pseudomonadota; Gammaproteobacteria; Enterobacterales; Enterobacteriaceae. The record is from RNAcentral.